This is a non-coding RNA of Callithrix jacchus (white-tufted-ear marmoset), 81 nucleotides long. The record is from Rfam. Lineage: Eukaryota; Metazoa; Chordata; Mammalia; Primates; Cebidae.
UCGUGUGGUACUCUACUCAAGAGGGGGCAAUCAUGUGUAAUUAGUUAUGAUUGACACCUCUGUGAGUGGAGUAACACAUGA